UCCUUCUCUUCCUUCCCUUCCAAGACUGUGGAUCUUUCUGACACAGCAUUCACUGACAAUGCCCAGAUGUGAACCCUAGAACUAAUAGCAGCACUGGAUUAAAAAGGGGAAGAAAUCCCAUCUCAUUUCUGCACUCUUUAGUCUCUCUGAAACAUCUAACCUGAAGCCUUUACUUUUCAAUGGAGAAUUGGAAGAGCUGUCUCUGAAAACCCUGUCUUGCACUGUUUGCUUGGGAGAAUCAGGAUUCCAUGCCUAUUGGAAGAAUAAGAGGUUACUGUUUUGUAUGCUGCUGUCCUUUGCCUGGUAAUAUGUUGUUGGGAUUUUGGCAUCCCUUCAUCUGAUGGGAUGUAUUUGCAGUUUGGGGUUGUAUUAAAUUUCUCUGGUUUUGUUAAUAUAAUACUAUUUUCAGAGAGACAUUCAGUGUUUUUUUUUUUCAUCUGUUUUGACUAAUCUAAAUAAUAAACAUUACAGUUACCUUUUCUUUAAAAAUUUACUUGAAAUCCACUGGGAAUUCAUUUAUGUUUGAUAUUUUGGAGGAAGGCAGUUCUUUGAAACAUUUUUUCCCCCUGUGGCAAUUGGUUUUCUCGGACUAUCUUUUCUGGAAUUGAUUCUGGUCAAGUUUUGCUCAGCAGUGGACAUUGAAAAUCAGUUAACUACACAGAAAUCAUGUUUUGGGAAGUGUGGUUGACAGCUAUUUGGACACUUUAUAUUUUCUUGGUGAGCUUUUUUUAGAGUUGAAGAUAUAAAAAAUGUAAACUCAAAUCAUGUUCCACAGAAUUGCUAAAACAAGCAUGGGAAAGUAUUGUGACGGUGAAUAUGCUAUUCUCUGCUAAUAACAGAACUUGACAGGAAGACAUGAGUGACAGGAAAAGAUAGGGAAGGUUUUCAGACAUAGAAAGCCACUACGGUGUUGCUUAUAUCACAAAAAAAAAAAAAAAAAAAAAAAAAAAAAAAAAAAAAAAAAAAAAAAAGAAGU
Molecule: non-coding RNA, 976 nt
Organism: Oryctolagus cuniculus (rabbit)
Lineage: Eukaryota; Metazoa; Chordata; Mammalia; Lagomorpha; Leporidae
Source: RefSeq, a predicted model, not a curated record